CAUUACCGAGAGAAGGAGUCUAACCGGCCCCACCUCUUCACCCCUGUUUACCCACACCAUGUUGCUUCCGCGUGACUGCCGGCACUGUCGCUUUCGAUGAGAGCAGUAAUUCGGGCUGACCAGACGUGAGAGGCCUUUCAAACCCGGGCUGACCAGACGUGGGACGCCCUUUAAACCCUGUGUUCAGUGUCGUCCGAGUACAAACAAUCGUUAAAACUUUCAACAACGGAUCUCUAGGUUCCGGCGUCGAUGAAGAACGCAGCGAAAUGCGAAAAGUAAUGUGAAUUGCAGAAUUCAGUGAAUCAUCGAAUCUUUGAACGCACAUUGCGCCCUUUGGUAUUCCGAAGGGCAUGUCUGUUGGAGCGUCAUUGCACCCCUCAAGCAUUGCUUGGUCUUGGGCUUCGCCCCCGCGGCGAGCCCGAAUUCCAGUGGCGGUCCAGCGAGACUUCAAGCGUAGCAAGAUGAUCCACAUCCCGCUUUCGAAGCCGAUCUCGCUGCGCGCCGGCCAGACAACCCCAUACACUCCAAUGAUUGACCUCGGAUCAGACAGGGAUACCCGCUGAACUUAAGCAUAUCAAUAAGCGGAGGAAAAGAAACCAACAGGGAUUGCCUCAGUAACGGCGAGUGAAGCGGCAACAGCUCAAAUUUGAAAUCUGGUCCCCUUGGGGCCCGAGUUGUAAUUUGCAGAGGGUGCUUCGGGCGAGGCGCCAGCCUAAGUUCCUUGGAACAGGACGUCAUAGAGGGUGAGAAUCCCGUAUGCGGCCGGCGACCGACCCCGUGUGAAGCCCCUUCGACGAGUCGAGUUGUUUGGGAAUGCAGCUCAAAAUGGGUGGUAAAUUUCAUCUAAAGCUAAAUAACAGCCGGAGACCGAUAGCGCACAAGUAGAGUGAUCGAAAGAUGAAAAGCACUUUGGAAAGAGAGUUAAACAGUACGUGAAAUUGUUGAAAGGGAAGCGCUUGCAACCAGACCUGCGCCCGGGUGAUCAGCUUUCGUUCUCGAAGGUGCACUCGCCCGGUUGCAGGCCAGCAUCGGUUCGGGCGGCGGGAAAACAGCCGCGGGAACGUGACUUCCCCUCGGGGGAGUUUUAUAGCCCGCGGCCGCAUGCCGCCAGCCCGGACCGAGGAACGCGCUUCGGCGAGGAUGCUGGCAUAAUGGUUGUAAGCGGCCCGUCUUGAAACACGGACCAAGGAGUGGAAUAUCUAUGCGAGUGUUUGGGCGUUAAACCCACGCGCGGAAUGAAAGUAAACGGAGGUGAGAACCCGUACGGGCGCAUCAUCGACCGAUCCGGAAGUUUACGGAUGGAUUUGAGUAAGAGCAUAGCUGUUCCGACCCGAAAGAUGAUGAACUAUGCCUGAAUAGGGUGAAGCCAGGGGAAACCCUGGUGGAGGCUCGCAGCGGUUCUGACGUGCAAAUCGAUCGUCAAAUUUGGGCAUAGGGGCGCUUUUUCGCCCCUGACGACCAGUCCUUCGGGGCGAGGCUUAUGAUCUGCGGGGAUGUUCAGCUCCGUCCGAACUGCCCGCACCCAGCGCGAACGCGGCUGGGUCACAGAUCAGGCAUAGGCCGGCGCCUCCCUGCGCGGGGCGCUGAAAAUAUGAUCGGGCCGCGUCCGACGAGGUCGCAGAGCACCGGAAAGACUAAUCGAAUCAUCUAGUAGCUGGUUCCUGUCGAAGUUUCCCUCAGGAUAGCAGUAACGUUUUCAGUUUUAUGAGGUAAAGCGAAUGAUUAGAGGCCUUGGGGGUGAAACACCCUUAACCUAUUCUCAAACUUUAAAUAUGUAAG
Molecule: ribosomal RNA, 1779 nt
Filed under: Anaptychia ciliaris
Lineage: Eukaryota; Fungi; Ascomycota; Lecanoromycetes; Caliciales; Physciaceae
Description: eukaryotic LSU rRNA
Rfam family: Eukaryotic large subunit ribosomal RNA (bases 533-1779)
Source: RNAcentral